GCCUGGGUGGCUCAGUCGGUUGAGCGUCCGACUUCAGCUCGGGUCACGAUCUCACGGUUCUUGAGUUCGAGCCCCGAGUCAGGCU
This 85-nucleotide transfer RNA is filed under the name Felis catus (domestic cat). It matches the Rfam family "tRNA". From Rfam's summary of the family: Transfer RNA (tRNA) molecules are approximately 80 nucleotides in length. Their secondary structure includes four short double-helical elements and three loops (D, anti-codon, and T loops). The record is from Rfam by way of RNAcentral. Lineage: Eukaryota; Metazoa; Chordata; Mammalia; Carnivora; Felidae.